GGGGAGAUAAAGCCGGGGAUUGCAAAGGACCUGGCGCUGGAAGAGGGCCCGCGCCUGAUUAGCUAGUUGGUGGGGUAAUGGCCUACCAAGGCGACGAUCAGUAUCCGGCCUGAGAGGGCGGACGGACACACUGGGACUGAGACACGGCCCAGACUCCUACGGGAGGCAGCAGUGGGGAAUUGUUCGCAAUGGGCGCAAGCCUGACGACGCAACGCCGCGUGGAGGACGAAGAUCUUCGGGUCGUAAACUCCUGUCGAGCGGGAAGAACGCUUCCCGGGUGAAUAAUCCGGGGAGGUGACGGUACCGCUAAAGGAAGCCC
Molecule: ribosomal RNA, 319 nt
Filed under: uncultured soil bacterium
Lineage: Bacteria
Description: bacterial SSU rRNA
Rfam family: Bacterial small subunit ribosomal RNA
Source: RNAcentral